ACAGGGACCCAUACAAGUGGGUUUGGAACCCAUGGUGCACCAACCACAGGGACCCAUACAAGUGGGUUUGGAACCCAUGGUGCACCAACCACAGGGACCCAUACAAGUGGGGUUGGAACCCUUGGUGCACCAACCACAGGGACCUUUACACCAACCACAGGGACCUUUACACCAACCACAGGGACCUUUACACCAACCACAGGAACCCAUACAAGUGGGUUAGGUACCCAUGGUGCACCAAGCACAGGGACCCAUACAAGUGGGUUUGGAACCCAUGGUGCACCAAGCACAGGGACCCAUACAAGUGGGUUUGGAACCCAUGGUGCACCAACCACAGGGACCCAUACAAGUGGGUUUGGAACCCAUGGUGCACCAA
RNAcentral lists this long non-coding RNA (376 nucleotides) under Lupinus mutabilis. Its description in RNAcentral is "partial ncRNA". The record is from RNAcentral. Lineage: Eukaryota; Viridiplantae; Streptophyta; Magnoliopsida; Fabales; Fabaceae.